ACUCCUACGGGAGGCAGCAGUAGGGAAUCUUCCACAAUGGGCGCAAGCCUGAUGGAGCAACACCGCGUGAGUGAAGAAGGGUUUCGGCUCGUAAAGCUCUGUUGUUAAAGAAGAACACGUAUGAGAGUAACUGUUCAUACGUUGACGGUAUUUAACCAGAAAGUCACGGCUAACUACGUGCCAGCAGCCGCGGUAAUACGUAGGUGGCAAGCGUUAUCCGGAUUUAUUGGGCGUAAAGAGAGUGCAGGCGGUUUUCUAAGUCUGAUGUGAAAGCCUUCGGCUUAACCGGAGAAGUGCAUCGGAAACUGGAUAACUUGAGUGCAGAAGAGGGUAGUGGAACUCCAUGUGUAGCGGUGGAAUGCGUAGAUAUAUGGAAGAACGCCAGUGGCGAAGGCGGCUACCUGGUCUGCAACUGACGCUGAGACUCGAAAGCAUGGGUAGCGAACAGGAUUAGAUACC
Molecule: ribosomal RNA, 459 nt
Filed under: uncultured bacterium
Lineage: Bacteria
Description: bacterial SSU rRNA
Rfam family: Bacterial small subunit ribosomal RNA
Source: RNAcentral